GGCCAAGCAAGUAGAACUGGGUAAAGUACAGUUCAAGAAUUUGAAAUGAAGGAUGACAGGUCUAAAACGGAGCAUAGAAAUCACUGAAGAACCACUCUGCUAUCAGCAUUGCAGAUCAUAAGCCUUUGGUUUUGCUGUUGUGUAUAAGGAAAGCCAGUUAUCCAAGGAACCUUGUAACUGUCUGCCGCUGAAGAAGGUACAAGGAUCUAGGACUCACCUGAGGUUUUCAACAGACUGAAAAACAGAAGAGAGUGAAAACUGUCAUAAGACGUGGAAAAGUUUUGAGAUGGGGCUUUGCAGUUUCUACAGGCGGGCAAUUGAAAAGAUAGUGAGUCAAAAGAAAAAGGAGUAGAUAACCAGCGUUGAGAUGGAUGUCAGUGGCAGAGAAAUUCUUCAGAAUAUGCCUCCACACCCUCACAGCACACAGAGCCUUUUGUAAAUAGCAUAUACUGCACAAUCCCUCUUCCUCACUACACACAGACAGAUUGUACGAUCCGUCCCAGCCAACCAGGACAACCAUUACGUUUUUCCAUGAAUAGAAUCCUUAUUGAACAAUCUUUCUGAAUGAAUUCACCUAGUUCUGGUAACUUUAUUCCAACCUAGCAAACAUCACUUUUAUAAAGUCCUUGUAUAAGUCUUAGCUGAAGUUAUGUAAUAAUGAAUCUAGAUCCAACAGCUAAGGGGACUGAUUUUUACAGCUAGGUCAGUAAGAGGGAGAAGAUGAUGACGUAUGUUUUGGUGGCUGCAAUACAGUCUAAACAGUCAGCAAGCCAAGGUAAAUAGUUUUAGUCUGGCUUUGGUCUGCUCUUCCUACCUGCACCUGCUGAAAGACUAAUUGAGGUGCCGUAUGUGAAAUUUUAGUACCCAAUGCGCACUAUUCUUCUGUUCUGAAGUCAAUGUGAUAUUGUAAAAUACUGACAUAGCUAUUAAGAAACAAAACACUCAUUCUUGUCACUGGAGAUUUUCUGAUUUGUUUCUGUUGUGUGGGUUGCACAUAUAUACUGCAUAUAUACUGUCUUAAACAUUAAAAAGCUAACAAUAAAGACAAAACUACACUUUCUUUUUCCUUUUUUUUUUUUUUAAUAUAUGUCCAUCUUUACAUGUAUUUUCUUCUUACUUGCUAAUCAGACUCCUAAACAGAAUUUUACAUAGCCAUAUUCUACUCUCCAAGUUCCUAAAGAGAGUGACUGAGUGAAAGAGGGCUAAUGCUCCUGGCAGGUUUCACUGAGUUUCGUGUAUCUUUACAUCCACAUUCGUAUGACUCAGUUCAUAGUCUAUACAGUAUCUUGAAAGUUCUAUUUUGAAGAAAACUUUCCUGAAAAAUAAUGCAACAACCACAGAACCCCUAGUACCAAGUUUUAAGUACAUAUGAGAUAAAACAUUGCCAUAUGAGCAGUUUUUCAGUCCAGAAAUUUUUUCUGCCCAUAGUGAUGCUCACUGACACCAUGGCAUGAAUUUCUCUACAGCUAUAUCUAGGAGUCCAGAAUAGACACCCAUGGUCAGAAAUGAAUGUUUUUCAUCCUAAAACAAAAUAUUAGGGAAUUCACAGUUUCCUACCAAGGUACUUCACGGUAUCUAGGUGUCUUGGUGUACACCAGGUUGGUCAUGAGUCAGCAGUGUGUCCUUGUGGUCAAGAAGGCCCAUGGUAUCCUGGGGUGCACUAAAAAGAGCAUGGCCAGCAGAUCAAGGGAGGUGAUUCUCCCCCUCUGCUCUGCCCUGGUAAGGCCACAUCCAGAGUGCUGAGUCCAGUUCUGGGCUGCUCAGAACAAGAAAGACAGGGAACUACCAGAAAGAGCCUAGUGGGGGGCUGUAAAGAUUAUGAGCAGGCUGAAACAUCUCCAUUAUAAAGAAAUGCUGAGACCUGAGUCUGUUCAGUUUGGAGAAGACUGAGAGCGGAUCUUAUCAAUCCUUAUAAAUAUGUAAAGAGCGGGAGUCAAAUGGAUGAAGCCAGGCUCUUUUUAGCGGUGCUCAGCAACAGGACAAGGGGAAGUGGACACAAACUGGAACAUGGGAAGUUCCAUCAAAACAUGAGGAAAAACUUCUUUACUUUGAGGGUGACAGAGCACUGGAACAGGUCACCCAGAGAGGUUGUGCUGUCUCUUUAUCUGGAGAAAUUCAGAACCCACUUGGACACUUUCCUCUGCAACUUACUGCAAGGAACCUGCUUUAGCAGGAGGUUGGACUAGCUGGUCUCCAGGGGUCACUCACAAGCCCUACAGUUCUGUGAUUCUGUAAUCUUUGGAAAGCUCCAAUAAGAUAAGAUUACGAAUACACCUUUAGGUAGGAUCUAUUGUGCAAUAACGUGAACAUAAACCAGAAAUAGAUCUUCUAGAAGUUGGUACUGCAAAUAAGGGCAUUUCUUCUCCAAAUUCUUCCUCUCGCACUACUUCACAUUUCUGUUGCAGCCUUACUGCCAUAGCAAAAUCAUUACAAAUCUGCAGAAGUAGAAGACAUUUUAGAUUUCCUUCUGAGUAUUCUUGCAAAUAAAGGCACCAGUUCCAGGCUGGAAGAUCAGUUUGUCAUUUCUGCCUACUCAAAACAUUCUUGUUGAUUUAUUUUCUGAGGGGGGAUAAGGAGCAAGGGAAUCCAGCAGUUAUUUUAAAGAAACUAGUAACUGUAAGGAUCAUUUUGAAAUUAUUCUUGACAUUUAAGGAUUGUGGUACCUUUCAGGAAAUUCAGUAGUGUGGGCUGAGAAUCUGCUGCCGCUGCCUAUGCACUGUGUUACCUAUGCAUGUCUCAUAACAAAUAAAAUGUGCCUCCUGAGGCCACUGAAAGUUUUUGCAAACAAGGUGACCUGACUAUUGGAUAAAUGUCAAGUGAAAUACUUGCAAUGCAAUUCCACAUAUCAGUAACUAUAUCACAUAUUAUGUUUGGUAAGAAAAAUUGUUUUAGAAGAUAUUUGUUAUAUGUAUGUUAUAAAAGAGAAGAGCUUUUUAAUAUCUCUCAGUAAAUCAUUCCCUUUGUGUCACAACCAUUACUUUGCCAUAUAGUAGAGUUAUGAUGUUAAGUUUCACUCUGAAUUGCAAUGAGCUGAACACUGAAUAAUUUCUCUUUAAAAGUUGUCCAUUGUCUUGUCUUCCAUGGUAUACCUAGGAAUUUGGCUUAGUUAUAGCUACAUAUUAUGAAGUAGGGAUCACAUAUGAUCUGCCAGCUUGCUCAUUAUUAUAAAGUCACUAACAAGGGAGUAUUCACUAUGUUUUCUCUAGCUACAGAAAACAUUAUGUUGCUUGCUAUUUCAUAACAGGGACAGGUUAUCCACCACCUCUCUGGGCAACCUGAGAGACAACUCACUACCUUCUCAGUGAAAAACUUCCCCCUGAUAUGUAAACUAAAUCCCUCCUCCUUUGAUUUAAAAUCAUUUUCCCUUGUCUUAUCACUAUCUACCAGCAUCAAAAGUUGAUUUUCCUCCUGUCUGUGGUCUCCCUUUAAAUAUUGGAAGUCCUCAAUGAGGACAUGCCCAGCUCCCUCAGCCUGCCUUCAUAGGAGAGGUGGUCCAGCCCUCUGAUGAUCCUGGUGGCCCUCCUCUGGACCCUCUCCAAAAGUUUCACAUCUUUCCUGUGCUGGAGCCCCCAGACUGUCUGCAGUACUCAAGAUGGGGCGCCACAAGGGCAGAGUAGAGGGGAACAAUACUCUCUGUCACUAUGCUGGCCACCCAUCUUUUAAUGUAGCCCAAGAUACAGUUGGCCUAUGGGCUGCAAGCACACACUGCUGGCUCAUGUUAAGUCUUUCAUCUACCUGGACCUGUUAAGUCCAUGUCUUCUUCUCCCAGUCUGUCAUUUCUUCUCCUGGUUUGUAACGAUAGAUCUGUAAUGCUCGUAUUCAUUCCUUUCAGACAAGUAGAGAACACAUAUAUAAAAAUUGUACAUAGAAAAGUAUCCUGAAUGAGCUGGUCAGCAUAUGCAUGGAAAAUUUAAGAGCACAGCUGGUACACAUUGGUUUGACACCUUGCGUCUCCUGAAGUACUUCUUUGCAUAUAUUAGGCACAACAGAUCUGUUUGGAUCCUCUUCCUAAGAAUGUGAGUGAAACAUACCUGUACUGUUCUGGAAGAAGUACCUAGGAGAAGAGAGAUAUCUGAUGCUUGUUUCUCCUUCUCAAAGAAAGGAUUUUUAAGGAGAAGACACAGAGCAGAACCAAGUGCUUCUGGCAUACUGCUUAACCACUGGAAAUAUUUUCAUUAUGAGUCACAGGUCUAAUCAAGAUUUUUUUUCUAGAUUGAAAAUAAAAUUCUAUGUAAGACUUGGGAAGGAAAAACAUUUGUAAAUACUGUUAGAAAAACUGACUUUCAGCCUCUUGAUUGAUAUGAGUCAGGCCCACUGGAUUAAGAAAACACAGAAUGCCUCAGAGGGACAUGAAGACAUUUUGCUACAUUUAGAAAUGUUCACAUUUUCUUCUUAUCAUUGAUUAACAUAAGAUCUCAUCUGAGGAUUAUGACUGAAGUUCCAGAAAGUUAUACAGCUGCCAAGUCAAGUCAGCAUGCUUGAAUAGGAGUUCUUUCACAGGG
Molecule: long non-coding RNA, 4502 nt
Organism: Gallus gallus (chicken)
Lineage: Eukaryota; Metazoa; Chordata; Aves; Galliformes; Phasianidae
Source: Ensembl